GACGAACGCUGGCGGCGUGCCUAACACAUGCAAGUCGAACGGGACCAGGGGCAACUCUGGUUCAGUGGCGGACGGGUGCGUAACACGUGAGGAACAUGACCUUCGGCGGGGAGUAGCCGGCCCAACGGCCGGGUAAUACCGCGUACGACCACUUUGGGACAUCCCUGGGUGGUGAAAGCAGCAAUGCGCCGAUGGAGUGCCUCGCGGCCUAUCAGCUAGUUGGUGAGGUAACGGCUCACCAAGGCGACGACGGGUAGCUGGUCUGAGAGGAUGGCCAGCCACAUUGGGACUGAGACACGGCCCAGACUCCUACGGGAGGCAGCAGUGGGGAAUAUUGCGCAAUGGACGAAAGUCU
RNAcentral lists this ribosomal RNA (355 nucleotides) under uncultured bacterium. Its description in RNAcentral is "bacterial SSU rRNA". It matches the Rfam family "Bacterial small subunit ribosomal RNA", at positions 28 to 384 of the family's 1533-position model. The record is from RNAcentral.